GUUAAGGCUGAGGCGUGAUGACGAGGCACCACGGUGCUGAAGUGACAAAUGCCCUGCUUCCAGGAAAAGCCUCUAAGCAUCAGGUAACAUCAAAUCGUACCCCAAACCGACACAGGUGGUCAGGUAGAGAAUACCAAGGCGCUUGAGAGAACUCGGGUGAAGGAACUAGGCAAAAUGGUGCCGUAACUUCGGGAGAAGGCACGCUGACAUGUAGGUGAAGCCCCUGCGGGUGGAGCUGAAGUCAGUCGAAGAUACCAGCUGGCUGCAACUGUUUAUUAAAAACACAGCACUGUGCAAACACGAAAGUGGACGUAUACGGUGUGACGCCUGCCCGGUGCCGGAAGGUUAAUUGAUGGGGUUAUCGCAAGAGAAGCUCCUGAUCGAAGCCCCGGUAAACGGCGGCCGUAACUAUAACGGUCCUAAGGUAGCGAAAUUCCUUGUCGGGUAAGUUCCGACCUGCACGAAUGGCGUAAUGAUGGCCAGGCUGUCUCCACCCGAGACUCAGUGAAAUUGAACUCGCUGUGAAGAUGCAGUGUACCCGCGGCAAGACGGAAAGACCCCGUGAACCUUUACUACAGCUUGACACUGAACAUUGAGCCUUGAUGUGUAGGAUAGGUGGGAGGCUUUGAAGCGUGGACGCCAGUCUGCGUGGAGCCGACCUUGAAAUACCACCCUUUAAUGUUUGAUGUUCUAACCUGGCGCCGUGAUCCGGCGUGGGGACAGUGUCUGGUGGGUAGUUUGACUGGGGCGGUCUCCUCCCAAAGUGUAACGGAGGAGCACGAAGGUCAGCUAAUCCUGGUCGGACAUCAGGAGGUUAGUGCAAUGGCAUAAGCUGGCUUGACUGCGAGAGUGACGGCUCGAGCAGGUGCGAAAGCAGGUCAUAGUGAUCCGGUGGUUCUGUAUGGAAGGGCCAUCGCUCAACGGAUAAAAGGUACUCCGGGGAUAACAGGCUGAUACCGCCCAAGAGUUCAUAUCGACGGCGGUGUUUGGCACCUCGAUGUCGGCUCAUCACAUCCUGGGGCUGAAGUAGGUCCCAAGGGUAUGGCUGUUCGCCAUUUAAAGUGGUACGCGAGCUGGGUUUAGAACGUCGUGAGACAGUUCGGUCCCUAUCUGCCGUGGGCGCUGGAGAAUUGAGGGGGGCUGCUCCCAGUACGAGAGGACCGGAGUGGACGCAUCACUGGUGUUCGGGUUGUCAUGCCAAUGGCACUGCCCGGUAGCUAAAUGCGGAAGAGAUAAGUGCUGAAAGCAUCUAAGCACGAAACUUGCCCCGAGAUGAGUUCUCCCUGAGACUGUAAGUCUCCUGAAGGAACGUUGAAGACGACGACGUUGAUAGGCCGGGUGUGUAAGCGCAGCGAUGCGUUGAGCUAACCGGUACUAAUGAACCGUGAGGCUUAACCUUACAACGCCAAAGAAGU
This 1415-nucleotide ribosomal RNA is filed under the name Cronobacter sakazakii. RNAcentral describes it as "partial 23S ribosomal RNA". It matches the Rfam family "Bacterial large subunit ribosomal RNA", at positions 1549 to 2925 of the family's 2925-position model. The record is from RNAcentral. Lineage: Bacteria; Pseudomonadati; Pseudomonadota; Gammaproteobacteria; Enterobacterales; Enterobacteriaceae.